GAAAAUUUCAAGAAGUGAAAAUCCAACAGAAAAUAUUUGAACCCAGGAAUAAAAUAGAAGCCUGGAAGACUGAAGGAUAUUGAGAAAUAUUACCACGCGUGCUGAUGCCUCAGACACACCAAUCUGCAACAAGCAACUAGGAUAAAAAAUAGUUAAAAGUGAAUCAACAUUUAUCUGGAAUAUACAGUCCUGACCCCCUUACGCACUCCCCCCCACCC
Homo sapiens (human) is the source of this 218-nucleotide long non-coding RNA. Ensembl annotates it as long intergenic non-protein coding RNA 1797. Lineage: Eukaryota; Metazoa; Chordata; Mammalia; Primates; Hominidae. The record is from Ensembl.